AGAGUUUGAUCAUGGCUCAGAGCGAACGCUGGCGGCAGGCUUAACACAUGCAAGUCGAGCGGUAACAGGUGUAGCAAUACAUGCUGACGAGCGGCGAACGGGUGAGUAAUGCUUCGGAAUCUGCCCAAUGGUGGGGAAUAACCAGCCGAAAGGUUGGCUAAUACCGCAUAAGUCCUACGGGGGGAAAGCAGGGGAUCGUAAGACCUUGCGCCGAUGGAUGAGCCGAAGUCGGAUUAGCUAGUUGGUAGGGUAACGGCCUACCNNGGCGACGAUCCGUAGCUGGUCUGAGAGGACGACCAGCCACACUGGGACUGAGACACGGCCCAGACUCCUACGGGAGGCAGCAGUGGGGAAUAUUGGACAAUGGGGGAAACCCUGAUCCAGCGACGCCGCGUGUGUGAAGAAGGCCUGCGGGUUGUAAAGCACUUUUAGUGGGGAUGAAAAGCUCAGGGAUAACACCUCUGGGUCUUGACCUAACCCACAGAAAAAGCACCGGCUAACUCUGUGCCAGCAGCCGCGGUAAUACAGAGGGUGCGAGCGUUAAUCGGAAUUACUGGGCGUAAAGCGUGCGUAGACGGUUAUGUAAGUCGGGUGUGAAAGCCCCGGGCUCAACCUGGGAAUGCCAUUCGAGACUGCAUAGCUAGGGUGCGGAAGAGGGAAGCGGAAUUUCCGGUGUAGCGGUGAAAUGCGUAGAUAUCGGAAGGAACACCAGUGGCGAAAGCGGCUUCCUGGUCCAGCACCGACGUUCAGGCACGAAAGCGUGGGGAGCAAACAGGAUUAGAUACCCUAGUAGUCC
Molecule: ribosomal RNA, 796 nt
Filed under: uncultured bacterium
Lineage: Bacteria
Description: bacterial SSU rRNA
Rfam family: Bacterial small subunit ribosomal RNA
Source: RNAcentral